ACGUAGGGAGCAAACGUUGUCCGGAUUUAUUGGGCGUAAAGGGCUCGUAGGCGGUUCAACAAGUCGAUCGUGAAAGCCCGGGGCUCAACCCCGGGAUGCCGGUCGAAACUGUUGUGACUAGAGUUCGGUAGAGGUGAGUGGAAUUCUCAGUGUAGCGGUGGAAUGCGCAGAUAUUGAGAGGAACACCAUUAGCGAAGGCGGCUCACUGGGCCGAUACUGACGCUGAGGAGCGAAAGCGUGGGGAGCAAACAGG
Molecule: ribosomal RNA, 253 nt
Filed under: uncultured bacterium
Lineage: Bacteria
Description: partial 16S ribosomal RNA
Rfam family: Bacterial small subunit ribosomal RNA
Source: RNAcentral